AGUGAACGCUGGCGGUAGGCCUAACACAUGCAAGUCGAACGGCAGCACAGUAAGAGCUUGCUCUUACGGGUGGCGAGUGGCGGACGGGUGAGGAAUACAUCGGAAUCUACUUUUUCGUGGGGGAUAACGUAGGGAAACUUACGCUAAUACCGCAUACGACCUACGGGUGAAAGCAGGGGAUCUUCGGACCUUGCGCGAUUGAAUGAGCCGAUGUCGGAUUAGCUAGUUGGCGGGGUAAAGGCCCACCAAGGCGACGAUCCGUAGCUGGUCUGAGAGGAUGAUCAGCCACACUGGAACUGAGACACGGUCCAGACUCCUACGGGAGGCAGCAGUGGGGAAUAUUGGACAAUGGGCGCAAGCCUGAUCCAGCCAUACCGCGUGGGUGAAGAAGGCCUUCGGGUUGUAAAGCCCUUUUGUUGGGAAAGAAAAGCAGUAGGUUAAUACCCCGCUGUUCUGACGGUACCCAAAGAAUAAGCACCGGCUAACUUCGU
RNAcentral lists this ribosomal RNA (491 nucleotides) under uncultured bacterium. RNAcentral's name for it is "partial 16S ribosomal RNA". It matches the Rfam family "Bacterial small subunit ribosomal RNA", at positions 29 to 506 of the family's 1533-position model. The record is from RNAcentral.